This 874-nucleotide ribosomal RNA is filed under the name uncultured bacterium. Its description in RNAcentral is "bacterial SSU rRNA". It matches the Rfam family "Bacterial small subunit ribosomal RNA", at positions 26 to 898 of the family's 1533-position model. The record is from RNAcentral.
AGAUUGAACGCUGGCGGCAUGCCUUACACAUGCAAGUCGAACGGUAACGCGGGGCAACCUGGCGACGAGUGGCGAACGGGUGAGUAAUACAUCGGAACGUGCCCAGUAGUGGGGGAUAGCCCGGCGAAAGCCGGGUUAAUACCGCAUACGACCUAUGGGUGAAAGCGGGGGAUCGCAAGACCUCGCGCUAUUGGAGCGGCCGAUGUCAGAUUAGGUAGUUGGUGAGGUAAAGGCUCACCAAGCCUUCGAUCUGUAGCUGGUCUGAGAGGACGACCAGCCACACUGGGACUGAGACACGGCCCAGACUCCUACGGGAGGCAGCAGUGGGGAAUUUUGGACAAUGGGCGCAAGCCUGAUCCAGCCAUGCCGCGUGCGGGAAGAAGGCCUUCGGGUUGUAAACCGCUUUUGUCAGGGAAGAAACGCUCUGGGCUAAUACCCCGGGGUAAUGACGGUACCUGAAGAAUAAGCACCGGCUAACUACGUGCCAGCAGCCGCGGUAAUACGUAGGGUGCAAGCGUUAAUCGGAAUUACUGGGCGUAAAGCGUGCGCAGGCGGUUAUGCAAGACAGAUGUGAAAUCCCCGGGCUUAACCUGGGAACUGCAUUUGUGACUGCAUAGCUAGAGUGCGGCAGAGGGGGAUGGAAUUCCGCGUGUAGCAGUGAAAUGCGUAGAUAUGCGGAGGAACACCGAUGGCGAAGGCAAUCCCCUGGGCCUGCACUGACGCUCAUGCACGAAAGCGUGGGGAGCAAACAGGAUUAGAUACCCUGGUAGUCCACGCCCUAAACGAUGUCAACUGGUUGUUGGAGGGGUUCCCUUUCAGUAACGAAGCUAACGCGUGAAGUUGACCGCCUGGGGAGUACGGCCGCAAGGUUGAA